RNAcentral lists this ribosomal RNA (581 nucleotides) under Inocybe subcarpta. RNAcentral describes it as "eukaryotic LSU rRNA". The stretch from base 245 to 398 matches the Rfam family "5.8S ribosomal RNA". Lineage: Eukaryota; Fungi; Basidiomycota; Agaricomycetes; Agaricales; Inocybaceae. The record is from RNAcentral.
CUGCGGAAGGAUCAUUAUAGAAAUAAAACUGAACAGGCUGUUUGCUGGUCCUCUCGAGGGCAUGUGCACGCCUGUCGUCUUUAUUCUUCCAACCGUGCACAUAUUGUAGGCCUGGAGUUUUUUCUUAUCGUUCGAAUAGAUUGAGGACUGCCGUCGAGGCUUUGCCUUGUGAUUCCAGGUCUAUGUUGUAAUACAUUUUCACAACGUGUUUAAGAAUGUCGAGUACUGGGGAUAACAAAUAUACAACUUUCAGCAACGGAUCUCUUGGCUCUCGCAUCGAUGAAGAACGCAGCGAAAUGCGAUAAGUAAUGUGAAUUGCAGAAUUCAGUGAAUCAUCGAAUCUUUGAACGCAUCUUGCGCUCCUUGGUAUUCCGAGGAGCAUGCCUGUUUGAGUGUCAUCAAAAGUUCUCAACCAUGCUGGUUCUUCUGGUAUGGCUUGGAUUUGGGGGUUGCAGGCUUUGAACCAAAGUCAGCUCCUCUUGAAAGGAUUAGUGGUAACCAGAGUACCUUUGGGCGUGAUAAUUAUCUAUGCUUUGCUGUGUACUGUGUGUGAGCUGCUUCCAACCGAGUGUUGACAAAUU